Molecule: ribosomal RNA, 271 nt
Filed under: uncultured prokaryote
Description: partial 16S ribosomal RNA
Rfam family: Bacterial small subunit ribosomal RNA
Source: RNAcentral
UACGGAGGGGCUAGCGUUGUUCGGAAUUACUGGGGCGUAAAGCGCACGUAGGCGGAUCAGCCAGUCAGGGGUGAAAUCCCGGGGCUCAACCCCGGAACUGCCCUUGAUACUGCUGGUCUGGAGUUCGAGAGAGGCGAGUGGAAUUCCGAGUGUAGAGGUGAAAUUCGUAGAUAUUCGGAGGAACACCAGUGGCGAAGGCGGCUCGCUGGCUCGACACUGACGCUGAGGUGCGAAAGCGUGGGGAGCAAACAGGAUUAGAUACCCCUGUAGU